UUGCAUGCAUUUUUGCAUGUAAUUAGGCUAUAAAUAGAGAUGUUUUCAAAUGUUGAAGGACUUUUGCCUCUUUUAUCAUUUUCAUAAUCUCAACAAAAGAAAAAAGAAAGCUUCCAAUCUCAUUUUAUCUCCAUUACUUUCUACAUCAAAAUUGGGUCCCAUAACCCGGUUCUUUGUCUAGAGGAUAGCAGUUGAGUACUAGUGGUGGUCUCGGGUAGAAUUGGUAAGAAGACAUCAAACCUUUUGAAAGCUUCAAAGGUAAUACUUCUUAAAACCCUAAUUUGAUUAGUUUAUGGUUACAUGUUAAUUGUGGCAAUUAGGGUAGAAAUUCGAUUCUUUUUCCGCUGUGCAUGACUUAGUUCUAUCAUGUGGUAUCAGAGCAUGCUUCAUUUUUACCCAAUUGCAUGUGGUGGGUUCAAAUUUAUUAGAUAAAUUUUGGUUUGAACUAAAAUGGAUAUAUUAUGAUUUUGGCUCUAGAUUAAGUGUUUUUGUUCUAAUUAUUGUAAUUAGCCUUGUUAAUGGCUUAUUUUUAUUGUUGCAAAAGUGUUUGUAAUUUUUAAAAAAAAUAAAAAAAGUCAUUAGAGUUGAAGCUAGGCUGUAAUUAGUUCAACCGGGUGAGAGAAUUGAAAAAAAUGAAGAAAAGAAGGUCACAGACCCGAAAACCCGGUUUUGACCCGCUUCGCGACCCGCACGCCCGCAUGCCCGCGCGCCUCCGCGCCCGCGCGCCCUCCUGCGCCCCGCGCCCCUCCUGCGCCGCGCGCCUCCUGCGCCGGCGCGCCCUCUGCGCGCCCGCGCGCCUGCAUGCGCCCGCGCGCCCCAUGUGUCCGCGCGCCGCAUGCGCCGCCGCGACCGCCGCGCCCCGGCGCCUGCCUUCGCAUGACCCGUGUGCGCCUGGGCCGGUUCAAGCCAAUAAAUUUGGUUUUUGGGCCGGUUCAAGCGGUUCGGUUGGUUUUUUAGCCGGUUCGAAAUUUUUGGGAGUGGUUCUGUACUACACCAAAUUAAUUAUGUAAUAAUUUAGCACUUAGCUUAAUUUAGGAGCCAAAAAUCAGUCCAUUUUAGGGUGUUUUUUUAUUUAUGCAUGUGAUGUAUGAUUAAAUUACUUUAAAUUUGUAUGUGCAUUUUGAAUGUCAUAUAGAUUUAAAAUCCCACCAUAGGUUAACAUGUUCAUGCAUUAAAAUGUAUGAUAUAAAGGUUAUAUUGUAUUGUAUGCAUGUUAAUUGAUUAAUAUGGAAAUUAAUUAAUAUGAUUAAUUAAUUAUUUAAUUAAUUAAGUUAUUCUUGAUUAAAUAUGAUUUAAUCAAAUUAAUUAAUUAUUGUUUGAUUUAAUUUAAUUAAAUAUGAUUUAAUUAAAGUUAAAUAAAUUAAAAUCCAUAUUAAUUGAUUGUUUUUAUUAUAUAUUGAUAAAAUGAUUGAUUAAGUUUAAAAUUUUUAUAAGUGUUAUAAAAUAAAUUAGACUUUUAAAAUCAAUAACAAAGAUUAAAUGCAUGCUCACUUAGGUUAAACAUAUCUUCCAUUUUUCAUAGAAAUAGGUCGAUAUCUUGUAAAACUGGUUACAAAAGGCUCACCUGGUUCAAUCUUGUCAACAAGUCAGAUAAGAUGACUAAGGUUGGAGGUUCUUAAGUUGACGGUUUACGGAACACCUCCUACCUGGAGAUCGUAAUCAGUUCUUGAGCCUAGUUAACCUAGUUUAUGAGCAUUCGUGAGAGGUGUGAGGUAAUAAAAAUGUUUUUCACCUAGACAUCAUAGGUUAAAAUCCUGUAUAAUGGUUAUACUUGGAUGUUUUAUCUAGACUUAAAGAUUUGUUUAAGUUAGCCUAAAUAUAAAUCUUGAAGUUUGGAUUACCCUAAUUUUUUCUCUAGAACACUUCAACUAGAGAAAAAUAAUGUAUUUUAGCUCUAGUGUCCCUAAGAGUUCACACCGUGAGGUCCAUGCAGGGCUUUGUGUGCCGUAGGAGGACGGCCUCCCUUCGGAGAGUGUUUGCAUGGAUCAAAAUCAAGGUGAAUAGGGAAGUAGUUCAUAGUAAGUGGGUGAGGGAUUUGUGACAGCACAUCCCCGGUCUCUUCCAUUAGGUCGCACCGUGAGAUUUCUAUAAUAUGCCUGCUUGUCUGCCCUGGAGCGACGUUCCCUUCGGAGGGUUGUAUUAUAGGAUUCGGAACACCGCGAACUCCAAAUUGGAUAGGAUUUCUUAGAUUAGUUUCAGAAAUGAUUCUAAUCUAUAAAAUCUGAAAAAUGGUGGGUAACACUUACAAGAAUUACUAAGUUGUUAGUAUAUUCUUGACUAAUAGCGAUAACUAAGUGCUAUAAAGAAUAAAGAGUUAUUCUUGAGAUAGCAUCUAGUCAAGAUUGUCUUGGUUCAAAGGAGGAAUAAUCAACUACCUUCGGAGAAGGUUGUUCUAAACCUUUGAAAUAUUGUUGCAAAAUACAAAUAAUGAAAGGGUACAUUAUUAGUAAUAAAUUAGAUUGUAUUUUUUAUGAUUAUAGUUUUCUUAAAAAGAAUAUGUUUUUUUCAGCAUGAAUAGCUCAAUAGUUCAACUUUUAGCUUCCGAAAAACUUAAUGGCGAUAAUUAUGCGGCUUGGAAAUCAAAUCUUAACACAAUACUAGUGGUUGACGAUUUAAGAUUUGUCUUAACUGAGGAAUGUCCUCAAACCCCUGCCUCUAAUGCUAACCGAACUAGUCGGAUGCAUAUGAUCGAUGAUAAAAAGCUAAUUGAAAAAGCCCGUGUUUACAUUCUUGCCAGCAUGUCUGAUGUAUUGGCAAAGAAACAUGAAUCCUUAGCCACGGCUAAAGAGAUUAUGGAUUCAUUAAGGGAAUGUGGGCAACCAGAAUGGUCCUUAAGACACGAGGCAGUCAAAUACAUUUACACUACUAGCGUAUGAAGGAAGGGACCUCUGUUAGAGAACAUGUUCUGGACAUGAUGAUGCACUUCAACAUCGCUGUAAGUGAAUGGUGGUCCCAUCGAAGAGGUUAAUCAAGUUAGUUUUAUCUUAGAAUCUCUUCGAAGAGCUUCAUUCCAUUCCAAACGAAUGCGUCUUUGAACAAGAUAGAAUUUAACUUGACACCCUUCUGAAUGAACUCCAGCGAUUCCAAAACCUAACUAUGGGUAAGGAAAAACAAGUGGAAGCAAAUGUUGCUACCACAAAAAGAAAUUUAUAAGAGGAUCGUCCUCUAAAACCAAAGCUGGACCCUCAAAAACCUAAUGCUCAAAUAAAAAGAAGGGAAAGGAAAGUCCCAAACAGAACAAGGGUAAGAAAGGUGCAGAAAAAGCGUAAGUGUUACCAUUGGGCCAAAACGGGCACUGGUUAAGAAACUGCCCAAAAAUACCUUNNNNNNNNNNCUAAAACUCGUAGUUUGUAAAUCAUAUUCUAUUCAAUAAAGUUGUUAUUGAGAAAUUAAAUAUUAUAAUCUUAAAUCCAAUAAAUCAAAGUUCCAAGGCUAUUUUUUUGAAUAAACUUGAACUUUAUGUGUAAACAUAAACGUGGAUCAAGUUCGAGUAUAUAGCCUAAAUAGUCUAUAGUAUAUGAAAUAAAGGUUGGGCGCCUUAUUUUGAGAGACUAUGGAUGCGGCCACACUUUGUAGUACAAACGAUGUGAUCCUAAUCGUUCAUGUAGAGACAUGAAAGUGGGGGCAUCCUAUGUAAAAUGUUUACAUAAAGACUGAACCAUGAAUUAGUCAUUUUUACGUUAUAACACCGUUUACUGUUUAAAACUGACUAUCUCAAUUAUUGAUGACCUAGGUAACUUAGUCUUAAUCCUGAGUUAACUAUGAACUCCUGUUCAUACGAGAUUAUCCUUAGAUCUGCAUAGGUGAGGGCAGCUCAUCAGCGUUGGCCCAAUAAGCCUCCCAUUUCAGGGGUAAGAUCGGGUGGAUAGCUGGGAACAUAGGGUACAAGAUGGAAUUCACUCCUACCCGCUUUAGGGUUAGUAGAUAGGUUGCUCUCUUAAGCACUGAAUCCAAGUCUUGAACAAGGGGCCCCACCCUCUCAUUGGCCCGAGAGGGAUUAAGUUUAUAGGUUGAACCUUAAACCAAUUGUUCAAUAGUGGAUUAGUGGGACUUAAGGAGCAAGAUGUAAUCUUGGGGGUAAAACGGUAUUUUGACCCCAGCCAAGGUUACGAGCAACCUGUGAAGGAUUAACUUACUGAUUAUGGUUUUAUCAAAUGGACACAAAUAUAUCUAUAGUGAGGGGAGUGCAACUACGGGACUUUAGUGGAAUGACCCGUUAGUUAACGAAUGUUGAUUAACUCGGUUUAAAAGAGUUUAGCUAGUUAAUCUUGAAUCGUUGGAGCCCAUGAUCUAUAGGUCCAUUAGGUUCCUCUGCUAGCUCAUAUGGAUUAAACUUAGAACAGUGUGAUGAAAUAAGUCGAAUUGUUCGAUAUAGGGAGAAGAAAGGAAAACCGACAUAUACAGUGAUAUAAUCGUCGGUCUUCUAAUUAGAAAUAGAGCUUUAUGUUUUACAUAUACUAUAAGUAUGAAUGCGGAUUCAUACUAAGAAGCUCGGAAUUGGUCAAAAAUAGUAAAAAGUCAAAAUGUUGACUUUUGACUUUGAAAAGUCAAACUUUGACCGGCCUUAUAUUCAAAUGUGAUUUGAAUUUUGGAAAAAUGAAUGCGGAUUCAUGCUCGGGAGGUUGGAAUUAGUCAAGACGGACAAAAUGGUAAAAAGUCAAAAUAUUGACUUUUGACUUAGAAAAGUCAAAGUUUGACUUUUGACUAGAAAAAUCUAAUGACCAUUUUACCCUUGGACUAAGUUAGUGGGAAAAUCCAACAUUUUGUUGGAUAAUCCCACUAACUCUUAGUGGGAUAUGUGGCUAUAUGAGAUAUAGACACCUAGCCCACUAAGUUCCACUAAUUGUUAGUGGAAUAUUAGGUGUUGAGAUUUGGCAAUUGAAUUGCAUGCAUUUUUGCAUGUAAUUAGGCUAUAAAUAGAGAUGUUUUCAAAUGUUGAAGGACUUUUGCCUCUUUUAUCAUUUUCAUAAUCUCAACAAAAGAAAAAAGAAAGCUUCCAAUCUCAUUUUAUCUCCAUUACUUUCUACACCAAAAUUGGGUCCCACAACCCGGUUCUUUGUCUAGAGGAUAGCAGUUGAGUACUAGUGGUGGUCUCGGGUAGAAUUGGUAAGAAGACAUCAAACCUUUUGAAAGCUUCAAAGGUAAUACUUCUUAAAACCCUAAUUUGAUUAGUUUAUGGUUACAUGUUAAUUGUGGCAAUUAGGGUAGAAAUUCGAUUCUUUUUCCGCUGUGCAUGACUUAGUUCUAUCAUGUGGUAUCAGAGCAUGCUUCAUUUUUACCCAAUUGCAUGUGGUGGGUUCAAAUUUAUUAGAUAAAUUUUGGUUUGAACUAAAAUGGAUAUAUUAUGAUUUUGGCUCUAGAUUAAGUGUUUUUGUUCUAAUUAUUGUAAUUAGCCUUGUUAAUGGCUUAUUUUUAUUGUUGCAAAGUGUUUGUAAUUUUUAAAAAAAUAAAAAAAGUCAUUAGAGUUGAAGCUAGGCUGUAAUUAGUUCAACCGGGUGAGAGAAUUGAAAAAAAAAAAAAAAGAAGGUCACAGACCCGAAAACCCGG
RNAcentral lists this long non-coding RNA (5547 nucleotides) under Cucumis sativus (cucumber). Its description in RNAcentral is "long non-coding RNA (CSAT_LNC000123)". Lineage: Eukaryota; Viridiplantae; Streptophyta; Magnoliopsida; Cucurbitales; Cucurbitaceae. The record is from RNAcentral.